RNAcentral lists this ribosomal RNA (297 nucleotides) under Lomentospora prolificans. Its description in RNAcentral is "Scedosporium prolificans Eukaryotic small subunit ribosomal RNA". It matches the Rfam family "Eukaryotic small subunit ribosomal RNA", at positions 44 to 345 of the family's 1831-position model. The record is from Rfam by way of RNAcentral. Lineage: Eukaryota; Fungi; Ascomycota; Sordariomycetes; Microascales; Microascaceae.
UUAAGCCAUGCAUGUCUAAGUAUAAGCAAUUAUACCGCGAAACUGCGAAUGGCUCAUUUUAUAAGUUAUCGUUUAUUUGAUAGCACAUUACUACAUGGAUAACUGUGGUAAUUCUAGAGCUAAUACAUGCUAAAAAUCCCGACUUCGGAAGGGAUGUAUUUAUUAGAUUAAAAGCCAACGCCCUUCGGGGCUUCCUGGUGAUUCAUAAUAACUUUUCGAAUCGCAUGGCCUUGCGCCGGCGAUGGUUCAUUCAAAUUUCUUCCCUAUCAACUUUCGAUGCGAAGGUAUUGUCUUCGC